RNAcentral lists this ribosomal RNA (440 nucleotides) under uncultured bacterium. Its description in RNAcentral is "partial 16S ribosomal RNA". It matches the Rfam family "Bacterial small subunit ribosomal RNA", at positions 338 to 795 of the family's 1533-position model. The record is from RNAcentral.
CCUACGGGUGGCAGCAGUGGGGGAUAUUGCACAAUGGGGGAAACCCUGAUGCAGCGACGCCGCGUGGGGGAAGACGGUCCUCUGGAUUGUAAACCACUGUCCCCAGGGACGAAAAUGACGGGACCUGGGGAGGAAGCUCCGGCUAACUACGUGCCAGCAGCCGCGGUAAUACGUCGGGAGCGAGCGUUGUCCGGAAUUACUGGGUGUAAAGGGAGCGUAGGCGGGGAUGCAAGUUGGGUGUCACAACUACCGGCUCAACUGGUAGUCGCACUCAAAACUGCAGCUCUUGAGUGAAGUAGAGGCAGGCGGCAUUCCUAGUGUAGCGGUGACAUGCGUCGAUAUUAGGAGGAACCCCAGUGGCGAAGGCGGCCUGCUGGGCUUUUCCUGCCGCUGAGGCUCGAUAGUGUGGGGAGCAAACCGGAUUAGAUACCCCUGUAGUC